Molecule: ribosomal RNA, 497 nt
Filed under: uncultured bacterium
Lineage: Bacteria
Description: bacterial SSU rRNA
Rfam family: Bacterial small subunit ribosomal RNA
Source: RNAcentral
AUUGAACGCUGGCGGCGUGCCUAACACAUGCAAGUCGAGCGGUAACAGGUGUAGCAAUACAUGCUGACGAGCGGCGAACGGGUGAGUAAUGCUUCGGAAUCUACCCAAUGGUGGGGAAUAACCAGCCGAGAGGUUGGCUAAUACCGCAUACGUCCCACGGGAGAAAGCAGGGGAUCGCAAGACCUUGCGCCAAUGGAUGAGCCGAAGUCGGAUUAGCAGUUGGUAGGGUAACGGCCUACCAAGGCGACGAUCCGUAGCUGGUCUGAGAGGACGACCAGCCACACUGGGACUGAGACACGGCCCAGACUCCUACGGGAGGCAGCAGUGGGGAAUAUUGGACAAUGGGGAAACCCUGAUCCAGCGACGCCGCGUGUGUGAAGAAGGCCUGCGGGUUGUAAAGCACUUUUAGUGGGGAUGAAAUGUUCAGGGUUAACACCUCUGGAUUUUGACCUAACCCACAGAAAAGCACCGGCUAACUCUGUGCCAGCCGCCGCCGU